AGAAGUCGUCCAGGCUCCGCUCCUCGGUCUCCGCCAUGGCGGUUGCCGGACGAGGAAAGGAGGGCGGCGGCGCGGGCUAAGAGGAGACACUAAAGAAGAUUUGCAGUUAAAACUAAAUCACCUCAUGAAUAAGAUCAGAUUUUAAGCUGGCCAGAAGAGCUCUUGAAGCAGAAAAAUCUUUCCUUAGAUAAUUAAGUCUGUAACUAAGAUUGCAAAUGACCCAAAGCGUUCUGCUCCUCCAAGGUGAAACACACCAUGCAAUGUGGAAACAUCAAAGCUGCAUCCAGACGAGUUAUCUCAAGUGGAUAUCAAGUGGGAUUGUUGCCCUGUGUUCCCACAUGCCCUGAGGCUGUUUGGUCACAGGGUGGAGGUGGGCAUGCAAAGCUGAAGUUUCUAGGUGGUCAUUAACAUUUAUCCUCAUGGAGAGUGGCUUACUACUCCAAAUGUCUUACAAAUGUUUGGACCAAAAAAUGUGUAAUACCUGAAGGCAUCUGAUAAGGAGAAAUGUGGAGAAAUACCCUGUUCCUUCACUAUCCAUUAUGUCCAUCAUGGAUCAGGAAGUUAAAAGCACUCUACUUCUUUUCAAUCUGAUGAAGAACAAGGGUUAAAAAAGCUUUUUUCCUUAAUUCUUACCUACUGCUACAAAAAAAAAAACAAACAAGGAAGGUGGAUGGGGCUGGAGCUUCUUUCACACCAUUGCAUGGGAAACCUAUUUUUCUUCAAUAACUGUGGGAUUUCUUGGCCAAUUCAAGCAAUAUGAUAGAGGGAUAGGCCAUCUCAGAGACAUCCAGUUCUAAAACAGUUCAUGAAAAUAGCAUUUGGACAGAGGAGAGAAGUUUUGUAGAUACUGCUGCUCAGGGAAAAAAAAGAGCCUGAAUUUCGGCAUGGGAAAAUUGGGGAGUGUGGCAAAAGCACAGGACUCGGAGAUGUCACAAAAGCCACAGGUGUGGGCAAAGAGAUGAUCCCUCACCACACACCAACCAGCUCUGUUGUCCAGCACACAAGUACAGAAGAAUUCUGUGUGCUCAUUUGCACACAGAACUGGCUGCUCUUCAAUGUUCAACCCCUUGUUUCCUUCUCCCUGAUUUUUUGCAGCCCCACUUUACCAGCACUAUCCUAACUCUCCAAACCCUGGCUUGUCCAUCUGUGGCAUUUCAGAGCAGCUGAGCAGAGCUGGGACUUUGGGGACAUGCUACUCUUCUGUCCUCAUGUUCCCUUACACCAGGACACCUGAGUCUCUCCUGAAGGAUGGAGAAUUGGCAUUUAGUCAGCACAGAAGUAGAGGGACUUCCUUGACACAAGCUCUUGGUUGCUUUAUUUUUCUACUUUUUUUUCUUUAUUUUCUUUUUUCCUACAGUAGUUAUUCUGUCUUCCUGACAGCUCAUACAUGUGUGGAUCUUCACAGAAGCUUUAAUUUUUUUCCCUGACUCAAUCAAGGAGCAGAAAUGUUACCCUGUGAUUUGCCCUGCUCUAUUGAAACAGACCCGUUUGCCUCUGGCAGGGAUUACACACAGUUACAACGUCUGACCUAAAGUCUGAUGAAAAUUAAUGUCUUUGGGUGAAUUUGGAACAUCCUGUGAGCAAAAGUAACAUUAAAUCCUCUGAGCUGCACAAUGUCACUCAGAGGCAUAUUAGUAGUGAAGUUUAGGGGCUGAAUCCAGUGAGAAAGGGCUUUUGGACUGCAACAAAAGCAGAAGCAGUCAACAGCUGGUAAACUGCUGCUGCCUGGAUUUCUGCAUCUAUGUGGAGACAGACUGGUUUUUAAAAGUGUUUUUCAUUAGUGGUUUUGUGGAUUUAUUGAGGCAUUUGAGGUGACUUUUACCUGCCACACAGUGGAUGUCUUUACCAUACUCCUGGGGAUUCAGUCAAUACCCCAACUCUCCUCUUCACAGACCCACAGCUAAAGCCAAGGGCUCAGUGAGAAGGUCCAGGGCUUUCCAAAACUUCACAAAACCCUGAACUAUGCCAUGUAAGUAAAAACGGUAUGACCACCACCUCCCAAACUAAUGUUGAGAAGACUUCAGGGAUGACUUGCAGUGGAAACCAGCAGGCACCAAUUUUUCGGCACUCCUGGAAAUCACCUGUGGGCCCUUUAAAUCUGACAGUGAACGUAAAGGCUGUAACUGAACAAUCAUGGAGGCUGAGCUACCCUCUUCUCUCUCAGAAACUCAGAUUGUUUCAAGCAUCCACUUCUCCCAAGUGCUGCCCUGUACCCUGGGAAGAAAUUGCCAUUGCAAACAGUCUCCUAUUCUGCAGAAGAGACACAUUUGAUUAGAGAUAGAGUUUUCCAGAAGAAGACCAGGAUGAAGCCUGGAAAAGAAGAGUAUGCACAGGGUAAAAUUUGUAUUUCUGUCAUGAAAUUGUAAUUCUGUCACAUGAAUUCCUCUUGGCAAGGAUUUCUCAUUUCCCUCUUUUUCUGCAAAAAUCCUCUUGCUUUCUGCCUGUCCCAAUUAGUGUGUGUCCACCUGCUCUGCUUAAAGCCAGCUGCCCAGGCAGAUAAUUAACCCUGUGAGCUGGAUAGUUGCUUUCCAUCAUUCAGUUCCCACCAGUGAUCCCCUGCUGCAGCCAUAGCUCUGACAAUUGCAAGGAAACAUGAGUGGUUUCUCCUGAGGGACCCUGCACUCACACACACACCCUCUGAGUCUCUCACUGACAUGUUUUUUCCCUUAGCUCUGAGUUCGGGAGAUAUGCUGGUUUUGCUGGCAGUGCAGCUACCCAAAAUUUGGGAUGCUGGAGCACAUCCCAGGAAGGGCAGGAGGGAAACAGGACUUCAGGUCUGCUGGGGUCUCUCCUGUGCCACUGCAGAGAUGGGCCUGUCACAUUUGUGAUUUUGAGACCAGGAGAGUCCUUUGAGGCCAUGUCCUUGUCUUCUCAUUAGCAGGGCAGGAGUAAAGGGCUCCUGCUUAGACCCCUCCCAAUUGUGUCUUUCUCUUUGCUGCUUCUUGUUCGAAAACUGUUCCUAUCAUGAGUGCUUGGGCUAAACCAGGUGCCUGCUUGAGUGGUUUUUUUUCCCCAAAACUUUCAUAGCUGCUUUAUGCGAACGGCACCAAGGGGUUUUAUGGCUGCCAGGGAUCUCUCCUCACGGAACCCAUGGGCCUGGACAGGAAUCAAAAUGAGUGCUCAGAUUUUACAAGAAGCUGAAAAUGGGGUAUGCCACUCUCAAAGAAAUCAAGGUGGAUGUGGACAUCUGCAGAAAAUUUGAAUCUAUCUACAAAUAUUACAUUUAGGAAUGUAUCUGCCAGGUGCCUCUCAUUUCUGCUACACCUUGCUCCUGAAUGCCUUUUACUUUUCUGUUUGGGAUAUGUUGUGGGAGGAGGGUUCUGACUGUGUGAUUUCAGCUGUUUCUGCAGCAACUGAUUUUGACAUUUUAAUAAAUGUGAUGGUUUUGAUGUUGAUGCUGGCAUAAUUUUUCCAAUUAGCUCCAGGACGAAUGAGCUAAUUGGUGUUUGGGCUGGAUAGGGUUCUACUUUGAUUUUUGGUUAAAUGCUUAAUAAAAAAAGCAAAGCAAUCUAUUAAUCAGAAUUGUACAUAACAGCUUGGAUCACAUCCGUGAAAGACAAAACCCACUAAGUGAUGCCUCUUUUAUUGAUUUAAUUGAAGCAAUUCUGAAAAUUUUAUGUGUUCUCUGAUGUGUUUUGAUAGUUCAAUAGAUACGGAUGAUGCUAGUCUUUUUCUGUUCUUUUCUAUGACACUCACAAAUGCUGUUACUACAUGGCUUUAUUUUUCUGAUUUUUGUAUAGGAAGAGACCGAUGUUCAGGCUAGAUUUCAUUAUGAGAUGCUCCUAUUCACUCAUAAAAAAGAGGCAGAGGCAAGGAUGACUACAAAGAAAGGUUGAAAGGAAAGCAAUUUGGAUGAAAAAUUAUUACAUAGCAGGUUCAUCUGCACUGCAAUGUUGGGUGUUUAUACAACGAAAAAUAGAGUAGUCCUUCCUAAAGUACUUAUUGGUCCCACAUUUUUGGUCUCAAACAUAAAUUUCAGUAGGAUUUACAGAUAAAGUCUACAACUGCAAAAUGGGACACUGGUGUGGAGAACACGGGAUGGCAGCUGCAAAGGAUUAACUCCCUGUCCUCUAUCCAAGUUCCCUUCUUCUCCAGUAAGAUAAAAGGUUCAAAGAGAUGGCUUUUUGUACCCCAGAUUCAGAGCGCCCCUUUACUUCAGCAGCUGCUCGCUUCAGGAAGCAAUAACAUCAUUUACUAGUAAUAAAAGGUGGAAACUUUAAAAGCUGGUGCUUAACUAGGUGUUCCUGCUGACAUGAUCUUUGUACAACAGCUUAUGCCAACACAUUCAGAGUUCGAGCAAUGUUUGUGGUGUUCUGGGAGAAGACCUGCCAUAAUAAUACAAGGAAAAACGGGCCAGCCCAAGUUAAAACAACACAAUUGUCCCAGUCAACUUAAAGUUGGCUUUCAGGCUUUCUGAAGACCCAGUGAUGGCAUUUUCUGUGCCUGCACAGUGCUGCUGGGAAGAGGUGUGAGAGGUGUGCAAGACGCCAGACGCCAGGUCUUUGGAAUCCCGUCUGCUCCCACUGCCUGGGAGCUGGGAAGCCAGAAUCUUGUGCACCAAGACCUCAGCAGACAGAGCCCUGUGUCUGCUGCAAGCAGGACAUCAGCCUGAAAGGCUUUACUGGCCAGCAAAAGGAACUCCUUCUUGUCCAUGAGGUCAAUACAGACCCCAUUUUGCUGCCUCACAAUAAACAUUUGCGCCAUAUGGAGAAGGUGGGAGUAAGGGAUGGUGGGGUGGUGGCAAAGGAAGGGGAGUCACUAAUUUGUAACCAUGUAAUUACUACUUCUAAAUAAAUGGAGCUUUCGAAAAUGUUAUUAAGCCAA
This is a long non-coding RNA of Pseudopodoces humilis (Tibetan ground-tit), 4824 nucleotides long. RefSeq lists it as uncharacterized. Lineage: Eukaryota; Metazoa; Chordata; Aves; Passeriformes; Paridae. The record is from RefSeq and is a predicted model, not a curated record.